Molecule: ribosomal RNA, 911 nt
Filed under: uncultured bacterium
Lineage: Bacteria
Description: bacterial SSU rRNA
Rfam family: Bacterial small subunit ribosomal RNA
Source: RNAcentral
UGGCGGCGUGGAUAAGACAUGCAAGUCGAACGCGAUUUUCUCGGUUAGCAAUAACUGAGGAAAUUGAGUGGCGAAUGGGUGCGUAACACGUGGGAAUUUAUCCGGAAGUGGGGGAUAGCUCGUCGAAAGGCGAAUUAAUACCGCAUAUGCCUGUAAGGGCAAAGUGGGGGACCGCAAGGCCUCACGCUAUCGGAGGAGCCCGCGCCCUAUCAGCUAGUUGGUGAGGUAAUGGCUCACCAAGGCUUAGACGGGUAGCUGGUCUGAGAGGACGACCAGCCACACUGGAACUGAGACACGGUCCAGACACCUACGGGUGGCAGCAGUCGAGGAUUUUUCUCAAUGGGGGCAACCCUGAAGGAGCGACGCCGCGUGGAGGAUGAAGGGCUUCGGCUCGUAAACUCCUGUCACCGACGAACAAGACAUCCGGAUUAAUAACUCGGAUGUUUGAUGGUAGUCGGAGAGGAAGGGGCGGCUAACUCUGUGCCAGCAGCCGCGGUGAUACAGAGGCCCCAAGCGUUGUUCGGAUUUACUGGGCGUAAAGGGUGUGUAGGGGGUUAGGUUAGUCUGACGUGAAAUACCGUUGCUCAACAACGGAACUGCGUCGGAUACUGCCUAGCUAGAGGUUCGGAGAUGAGGGCGGAAUUCUCGGUGUAGCGGUGAAAUGCGUAGAUAUCGAGAGGAACGCCGAUGGCGAAAGCAGCCCUCAAGACGAAAUCUGACCCUGAAACACGAAGGCCAGGGGAGCAAACGGGAUUAGAUACCCCGGUAGUCCUGGCAGUAAACGGUGCUCAUUAGAUGUAGGCGGAUUCGACCCGCCUGUGUCGAACCUAACGGAUUAAAUGAGCCGCCUGNNAGGUACGGUCGCAAGAUUAAAACUCANGAAAUUGACGGGGGCCCGCACAAGCNGNGGA